CCUACGGGAGGCAGCAGUGGGGAAUAUUGCGCAAUGGGGGCAACCCUGACGCAGCCAUGCCGCGUGAAUGAAGAAGGCCUUCGGGUUGUAAAGUUCUUUCGGUAGCGAGGAAGGCACUUAGUUUAAUAAACUAGGUGAUUGACGUUAACUACAGAAGAAGCACCGGCUAACUCCGUGCCAGCAGCCGCGGUAAUACGGAGGGUGCGAGCGUUAAUCGGAAUAACUGGGCGUAAAGGGCACGCAGGCGGUGACUUAAGUGAGGUGUGAAAGCCCCGGGCUUAACCUGGGAAUUGCAUUUCAUACUGGGUCGCUAGAGUACUUUAGGGAGGGGUAGAAUUCCACGUGUAGCGGUGAAAUGCGUAGAGAUGUGGAGGAAUACCGAAGGCGAAGGCAGCCCCUUGGGAAUGUACUGACGCUCAUGUGCGAAAGCGUGGGGAGCAAACAGGAUUAGAUACCCUGGUAGUC
RNAcentral lists this ribosomal RNA (465 nucleotides) under uncultured Haemophilus sp. RNAcentral describes it as "bacterial SSU rRNA". It matches the Rfam family "Bacterial small subunit ribosomal RNA", at positions 338 to 795 of the family's 1533-position model. The record is from RNAcentral. Lineage: Bacteria; Pseudomonadati; Pseudomonadota; Gammaproteobacteria; Pasteurellales; Pasteurellaceae.